GUCCUAGCCCUAACGAUGGAUGCUUGGUGUGGCGGGUACCCAAUCCCGCCGUGCCGGAGCUAACGCGUUAAGCAUCCCGCCUGGGGAGUACGGUCGCAAGGCUGAACUCAAGGAAUUGACGGGCCCGGCACAAGCGGUGGAGCAUGUGGUUCAAUUCGACGCAACGCGAAGAACCUUACCUGGGCUCGAAGCGCAGUGGACUGGGGUGGAAACAUCCCUUCCCGCAAGGGCCGCUGCGGAGGUGCUGCAUGGCUGUCGU
RNAcentral lists this ribosomal RNA (259 nucleotides) under uncultured bacterium. Its description in RNAcentral is "partial 16S ribosomal RNA". It matches the Rfam family "Bacterial small subunit ribosomal RNA", at positions 793 to 1055 of the family's 1533-position model. The record is from RNAcentral.